Molecule: transfer RNA, 74 nt
Filed under: Perkinsela sp. CCAP 1560/4
Lineage: Eukaryota; Euglenozoa; Kinetoplastea; Prokinetoplastida; Perkinselidae
Rfam family: tRNA
About the family: Transfer RNA (tRNA) molecules are approximately 80 nucleotides in length.
Source: Rfam by way of RNAcentral
GCUCUCAUAGCUCAGCUGGUUAGAGCGUGGGUCUAAUAAGCCCAAGGUCGCAGGUUCGAUCCCUGCUGGGAGCA